Labeo rohita (rohu) is the source of this 2240-nucleotide long non-coding RNA. RefSeq lists it as uncharacterized. The transcript is spliced from 2 exons. The record is from RefSeq and is a predicted model, not a curated record. NCBI's taxonomy places the organism in Eukaryota, Metazoa, Chordata, Actinopteri, Cypriniformes, Cyprinidae.
UCAGAAAGCCACGAGUUCCCUACGCCGGUGGUGUGGCUUACAAGCAAGAUCCUGCCAGGGGACGCUCGGCUUGGUAACCAAAUGAAUAGGAUGUUGUCUGCAGUCGGGAUGAAUGAACUCCCCGUUCCCAGUUUCAGUGUUCCUCGGUUGUCAGAACUCGAACGGAGCAGACAGGUGAGGCCUGUUGUGGCGCCAGGACUGUGGAUGGCUGCUGUGGCCCGCGGCCAGAAGACCCACUUUCCACAUUUAACCUCCUGGCUCCAGGUUCCACCGCACCUACCAAUGAAAACAAGAGCUCAGCGUGAUGCAGCGGCCUGGAAAUCUCCACUGGGACGGGAUGGCACCAGCGCUCCUAAUUAAUUUUUAUUUAAAGAAUGGGAGAGGCAUUAAACUCCCCGUCACAUGAGGACACGGCUGCCAAAAAGUGUUUUUUUUUUUUUUUUGGAAGUGGUUGUAAUACAGUGAAUUUACUGUACAGUAAUAAAUAUCAAAUAUUUAAGAAGUCAUAUAGUUGAUUUUUAAAGUACAGUAAUAACAAAGCAUAUCUGGAAUCAGCCAAUAGUGUUUUAAAAUUGUCUCUGGUCCAAUUAGGCCAAUAUUUGAACUUUUUGUGUGUCAGAUUUAAAAAGUGGCUGACAGUUAUUCAUUGUGUGUGUUAUUUUAAUGUUUCAUAAUCUUUUAAAAGAAAAAAAAAACUCUAGAUUGUCCAUUGUGAUUACUUUUAUAAACAACAAACCAAAUAUAAUUUGCCAGUCUAUUGAUUUUUAGCUAUAGAAUAAAAAAGUUCUUUGUGGUUGCUAUGUAGUUACUAGGGUGUUCUGAGUGUAUUAGACUGGUUCGCUAUGAUGUUAUGGUGUUGUCUUCCUGUCUAGCAUAAAAGAGUCUCCUCUUAUGUCUCUUCAAUAUUUUGAGUGGUUGCUACGCCGUUGCUAGGUGGUUGCUAUGUAGUUACUAGGGUGUUCUGAGUGGAUAACAUGCAAUUGCUACAGCGUUAUGGUGUUUUCUUCCUGUCUAGCAUGAAAAUAACCCCUUCUUAAGUGUGCGUGAUAUUUAAGGUUGUUGCUAGGGUGUUGCUAAGUGGUUGCUAUGGUAUUCUGGGUGAUUGCUGUGAAGUUACUAGGAUGUUCUGAGUGGAUAAUGUGCAGUUGCCAUGGCGUUAUGGUGUUUUCUUCUUGUCUAUCAUGAAAAUAGUGCCUUCUCAAGUGUCUGUGAUAUUCGGGGUGGUUGCUAAGGUGUUGCUAGGUGGUUGCUAUGUAGUUACUAAGGUGUUCAGAGUGGAUAACAUGCAGUUGUUAUGGUGUUAUGGUAUUCUCUUUCUGUCUAUCAUUAAAAGAGUCCCUCCUUAAGUCUUUGUGAUAUUCGGGGUGGUUGCUAAGGUGUUGCUAGGGUAUUCUGGGCGGUUGCUAUGCAGUUACUAAGGGUUUGGAGUGGAUGCUGUGCAGUUGCUAUGGCGUUAAGGCGCUUUCUUCCUGUCUAACAUGAAAAUAGUCCCUUCUUAAGUGUCUUUGAUAUUCGGGGUGGUUGCUAAGGUGUUGCUAGGGUAUUCUGGGUGGUUGCUAUGUAGUUUCUAGGGUGUUCGGAGUGGAUGCUGUGCAGUUGCUAUGGUGUUAAGGUGUUUUCUUCCUGUCUAACAUGAAAAUAGUCCCUUCUCAAGUGUCUGUGAUAUUCGGGGUGGUUGCUAAGGUGUUGCUAGGUGGUUGCUAUGUAGUUACUAAGGUGUUCAGAGUGGAUAACAUGCAGUUGUUAUGGUGCUAUGGUAUUCUCUUUCUGUCUAUCAUUAAAAGAGUCCCUUCUUAAGUCUUUGUGAUAUUUGGGGUUGUUGCUAAGGUGUUGCUAGGGUAUUCUGGGCGGUUGCUAUGUAGUUACUAAGGGUUUGGAGUGGAUGCUGUGCAGUUGCUAUGGCGUUAAGGUGUUUUCUUCCUGUCUAACAUGAAAAUAGUCCCUUCUUAAGUGUCUGUGAUAUACGGGGUGGUUGCUAAGGUGUUGCUAGGGUAUUCUGGGUGGUUGCUAUGUAGUUACUAGGGUGUUCGGAGUGGAUGCUGUGCAGUUGCUAUGGCGUUAAGGUGUUUUCUUUCUGUCUAGCAUGAAAGAAGUUCCCUCUUAUCUAUGUGGGUGUGGUGUUAAUUUCUAAUCAUCUAAAUUAUGUAAACGCAAUAAUAAUUUAAUGCAUCAAGUAAUGGAUGUCUUGUGGUGUAUUUUGAUUGAACAAUCUGUGUAAAUAUUAAAAUGUACUGAAUGGA